GACGAACGCUGGCGGCGUGCUUAACACAUGCAAGUCGAACGGAAAGGCCCUGCUUUUGUGGGGUGCUCGAGUGGCGAACGGGUGAGUAACACGUGAGUAACCUGCCCUUGACUUUGGGAUAACUUCAGGAAACUGGGGCUAAUACCGGAUAGGAGCUCCUGCUGCAUGGUGGGGGUUGGAAAGUUUCGGCGGUUGGGGAUGGACUCGCGGCUUAUCAGCUUGUUGGUGGGGUAGGGGCUUACCAAGGCUUUGACGGGUAGCCGGCCUGAGAGGGUGACCGGCCACAUUGGUACUGAGAUACGGCCCAGACUCCUACGGGAGGCAGCAGUGGGGAAUAUUGCACAAUGGGCGGAAGCCUGAUGCAGCAACGCCGCGUGCGGGAUGACGGCCUUCGGGUUGUAAACCGCUUUCGCCUGUGACGAAGCGUGAGUGACGGUAAUGGGUAAAGAAGCACCGGCUAACUACGUG
RNAcentral lists this ribosomal RNA (468 nucleotides) under uncultured bacterium. RNAcentral's name for it is "partial 16S ribosomal RNA". It matches the Rfam family "Bacterial small subunit ribosomal RNA", at positions 28 to 507 of the family's 1533-position model. The record is from RNAcentral.